GACGAACGCUGGCGGCGUGCUUAACACAUGCAAGUCGAACGGUGAAGGUGGAGCUUGCUCCGCCGGAUCAGUGGCGAACGGGUGAGUAACACGUGGGCAACCUGCCCCUCACUUCGGGAUAACUCCGGGAAACCGGGGCUAAUACCGGAUACGACCUCCUUGGGCAUCCUUGGAAGUGGAAAGUUUUUCGGUGAGGGAUGGGCCCGCGGCCUAUCAGCUUGUUGGUGAGGUAGUGGCUCACCAAGGCGACGACGGGUAGCCGGCCUGAGAGGGCGACAGGCCACACUGGGAAGGAGACACGGCACAGACUCCUACGGGAGGCAGCAGUGGGGAAUAUUGCGCAAUGGGCGAAAGCCUGACGCAGCAACGCCGCGUGCGGGAUGAAGGCCUUCGGGUUGUAAACCGCUGUCAGCAGGGAAGAAGCCGCAAGGUGACGGUACCUGCAGAAGAAGCACCGGCUAACUACGUGCCAGCAGCCGCCGUAA
Molecule: ribosomal RNA, 485 nt
Filed under: uncultured bacterium
Lineage: Bacteria
Description: partial 16S ribosomal RNA
Rfam family: Bacterial small subunit ribosomal RNA
Source: RNAcentral